AGAUUAAUACAAGAUGGUGUUUCACUUUCGCAUGUUAUUGAAACUAAAGAUUUAUCGGUAUCGGAUGGGGAUGCGUGACAUUAGAUAGUAGGCGGGGUAACGGCCCACCUAGUCUACGAUGUCUAGGGGUUCUGAGAGGAAGGUCCCCCACACUGGAACUGAGACACGGUCCAGACUCCUACGGGAGGCAGCAGUGAGGAAUAUUGGUCAAUGGUCGGAAGACUGAACCAGCCAAGUAGCGUGAAGGAUGAAGGUUCUAUGGAUUGUAAACUUCUUUUAUACGGGAAUAAAACCUCCCACGUGUGGGAGCUUGUAUGUACCGUAUGAAUAAGCAUCGGCUAACUCCGUG
RNAcentral lists this ribosomal RNA (349 nucleotides) under uncultured bacterium. Its description in RNAcentral is "bacterial SSU rRNA". It matches the Rfam family "Bacterial small subunit ribosomal RNA", at positions 160 to 507 of the family's 1533-position model. The record is from RNAcentral.